Molecule: ribosomal RNA, 538 nt
Filed under: uncultured Bacteroidota bacterium
Lineage: Bacteria; Pseudomonadati; Bacteroidota
Description: bacterial SSU rRNA
Rfam family: Bacterial small subunit ribosomal RNA
Source: RNAcentral
ACGCACUCUGAUCAGCCAUGUCGCGUGCAGGAUGAAGGUCUUAUGGAUUGUAAACUUCUUUUGCAAGGGAAUAAACUGGGGGACGUGUCCUCCUUUGAAUGUACCUUGCGAAUAAGGAUCGGCUAACUCCGUGCCAGCAGCCGCGGUAAUACGGAGGAUCCGAGCGUUAUCCGGAUUUAUUGGGUUUAAAGGGUGCGCAGGCGGGAUGUUAAGUCAGCGGUGAAAUUUUGCAGCUCAACUGUAAAAGUGCCUUUGAUACUGGCUUUCUUGAGUGUGGAUGAAGUAGGCGGAAUUUGUGGUGUAGCGGUGAAAUGCUUAGAUAUCACGAGGAACUCCGAUUGCGCAGGCAGCUUACUAAACCACUACUGACGCUCAUGCACGAAGGCGUGGGGAUCAAACAGGAUUAGAUACCCUGGUAGUCCACGCAGUAAACGAUGAUUACUAGUUGUUUGCGAUACAAUGUAAGCGACUGAGCGAAAGCGUUAAGUAAUCCACCUGGGGAGUACGUUCGCAAGAAUGAAACUCAAAGGAAUUGACG